Gasterosteus aculeatus aculeatus (three-spined stickleback) is the source of this 480-nucleotide long non-coding RNA. Lineage: Eukaryota; Metazoa; Chordata; Actinopteri; Perciformes; Gasterosteidae. The record is from Ensembl.
AGCGAUGCUGAUGCACCGCUGCAUCAUUCUGCCUCCUUCAAACCAGCUGUUUAUUUACCAGAGAGCUGCAGAAGUGUGUCACCUCCACUGUGUAAAGGUAGUCUGAGGUUAUAGACCGAUACUCCGAAGGAAACUAUAUAUUUUGUGAAUAAUAUGUACAUAAAUACAUAUAUCUGUAUGUAGUCAUAUUGUAUCAUGAUGUAUAUUUUACAGGGCCCCUGUGCGUUUCUGUUGGUGUGCAUUUCUUUUUGUACCAUGAAUUGAGAUGAAGAUUGUCUUCAGAUGUGCAGCCUGAGCAGGAGACGUGGCAGCAGGUGGAACCGCUGGCACGGGGACGUCAGUGUGUACCGGGGAGAGGAGCGCUCACGACUUACAACGAGACACCAGCUGCUCCCAGAUUUGCAAAGCAAAAUGAAGCUGCCAGCCUUCCAUCAACAUAUGGAGAAGUACAGAAGUUGCUGUGUCACCAGAGUGUUUUCC